CACGUAGGGAGCAAGCGUUGUCCGGAUUUAUUGGGCGUAAAGAGCUCGUAGGUGGUUCGGUAAGUCAGGUGUGAAACCUCCAGGCUCAACCUGGAGACGCCACUUGAUACUGCUGUGACUGGAGUCCGGUAGGGGAGCGUGGAAUUCCUGGUGUGGCGGUGAAAUGCGCAGAUAUCAGGAGGAACACCAGCGGCGAAGGCGGCGCUCUGGGCCGGUACUGACACUGAGGAGCGAAAGCGUGGGUAGCAAACAGG
This 254-nucleotide ribosomal RNA is filed under the name uncultured bacterium. RNAcentral's name for it is "partial 16S ribosomal RNA". It matches the Rfam family "Bacterial small subunit ribosomal RNA", at positions 524 to 776 of the family's 1533-position model. The record is from RNAcentral.